CACUUUGGCUGCGCGCCGCGGAGGUGCCGGCGACGCCGUCUGUGGACUGCCGACUGCGCGGUUGCGGACCGACCACGAGGAUGGCGUGCCACCGCUCCGCUGAAAGGCGGGGAGGCGGGCGGGCCAGAGCGUGCGGUGCGCAUGCGGCGCUUCCUGAGAAGAGGGAGGGGAGGUGGCGGGGCGAAAUAGGGAGGAGGCCGAUGGGGUGAUCCGGUGAUGGCGAGCCGGGAGAGUCGACGAGGUGUAAAGGAGGUGCCGACGAGGAGUGCCCCCUAGGAAGGCUCUUGAACGCCACGGACCGCUGGCUAGAGCCGCACACCACAGCGGGCAGGAGCGGCCGCGGCUCUUCGCCCUAGGGCUAAGGGCUCCACAAAGUCAAUGUAUAGACUAUCUCAGCAGGGGGAAAUCAACCGUUUUACAGUAAAGAUACCUUCAGUUCGUUACCACCAUGUUGCCUCUUUUGGAACUGGAACCUUCUUGUCGUUCUCUUUUAUUUACUCCAUGCUUUCGUUGAACUUCUUGGGAGCAGUGAUCGUUAUGUCCCAAAGGAAAGCCUACGGAGCUAUGACUCUAAGGAAGCUCGAUCUUUGACCUUACACGUCUUUAGCUCAUUUUACGACUUUAGUCGACACUUCACCGCCCGUCGUAUGUUCGGUCUUUACUAAAGGACCCUUCUUUAACGUGUACUUCGUCUCUGACCUUUCUAUAUAUCCCGACUGAUGUUCCUGUGUGAACCUUCUUGACAAGAACAAGACUCCGGUCCAAAUCUCUUGUGAUGGAGCCCCUUCCUUGUUUAAUUCAUAGAACAAAUGAGAGACCUCUUUCGCUAAUACUUAGACUGCCUACUAGUCCUCUUCUACCACACCUACUAUCUGAAGGUCCCGACCUGGUACCCUUCGUGUGGCGACUUCCACUGGGCCCUCUGGCACUCACAGAACGUUCUGACAAUAGGGCUCUCUAACCCUGAACGUUAGGAAAUGUUAGGAGGAUCUAAUAAACUCAGAAAGAUAUUCUAUCACUUCGGUAAGAACCUGGUACUCUGAUCGUUCUUCCACUUCAAACACAUGAGGUUGCUAUUCCUCUCGGUCUUCUAUUACCGCCUCCAGAAGCUGUACCUGUUCGAGCUGAGUCGUAAGCCUCCUUCCUUAGAUCGGUGGAAACUUAUGUCGUCGAUGCGCCUUGUUUACUUUCUCCUACUGUUCUUCUACGUUAGAUUACUACGCCCGAGACUGCGGAGUUCGCUCCGAAGGAAGAUGUCGCCUUGUCUAAGGGGCUUCGUGCCUCUACCUCUCGUGCCGCGUUGCUUCUUCCGGACGCGGUGUAUUGACGAUUAUCAACGAGAUAAAAUUUAUACACAUCAUUCUUAUAUGUGUUAGUAGAUCGAUCUGGAAAACGCGGUCACAAAUAGGAAAACAGCCAGUGUAAAAGCCCAGGUUCUGAAUCUUAUAAGAGACAGGCACCAUAGUAUCUUCUAGUCCUUCUCUUCGAACCCGGUCUUGCACACUACGUAACUGUAGAUCGUUCAUUGUAUUUACUCUUUAGAAUGGUCCCGACAGGACAACGUCCGCGAAGAUAUGCUUUAUUAAACUAUAAGUCGAGGGUACUCGACUGAUUGGCUACGUGAAAUGAUAAACUCACAACAAGAC
This 1646-nucleotide ribosomal RNA is filed under the name Triticum aestivum (bread wheat). RNAcentral's name for it is "partial small subunit ribosomal RNA". The record is from RNAcentral. Lineage: Eukaryota; Viridiplantae; Streptophyta; Magnoliopsida; Poales; Poaceae.